AAAGAUGAAAAGCACUUUGAAAAGAGAGUUAAACAGUAUGUGAAAUUGUUGAAAGGGAAGCUCUUGCAACCAGACUUGUUUCCAACGGUUCAACCGCUGUUUUCAGUGGCCUAUUCCGUUGGUUCAGGCCAGCAUCGGUUCGAGUGGUUAGUUAAAGACUUUGGGAAUGUAUCUACCUCCGGGGGUAGACUUAUAGCCCUUUGUGUAAUGUGACCUACCUGGACCGAGGGACGCGCUUUUUGCUCGGAUGCUGGCGUAAUGGUUGUAAGCGACCCGUCUUGAAACACGGA
RNAcentral lists this ribosomal RNA (290 nucleotides) under Phaeomoniella chlamydospora. Its description in RNAcentral is "partial large subunit ribosomal RNA". It matches the Rfam family "Eukaryotic large subunit ribosomal RNA", at positions 360 to 665 of the family's 3401-position model. Lineage: Eukaryota; Fungi; Ascomycota; Eurotiomycetes; Phaeomoniellales; Phaeomoniellaceae. The record is from RNAcentral.